GUGGGUUUCUAGGCGCAUUAUUUUCUAUUGUUUAUGAAAAUGCCCCCAGAAAUCCUAAA
Molecule: microRNA precursor, 59 nt
Filed under: Magallana gigas (Pacific oyster)
Lineage: Eukaryota; Metazoa; Mollusca; Bivalvia; Ostreida; Ostreidae
Description: Mgi-Mir-193-P2_pre stem-loop
Source: RNAcentral